UACGUAGGGGGCAAGCGUUGUCCGGAAUUAUUGGGCGUAAAGCGCACGUAGGCGGUUCGUUAUGUCAGAUGUGAAAGCCCUUGGCUCAACUGAGGAAGUGCAUCUGAAACUGGCGAGCUAGAGUAUGUAAGAGGGUCGCGGAAUUCCCGGUGUAGAGGUGAAAUUCGUAGAUAUCGGGAGGAACACCGGUGGCGAAGGCGGCGACCUGGGACAAUACUGACGCUGAGGUGCGAAAGCGUGGGGAGCAAACAGG
This 253-nucleotide ribosomal RNA is filed under the name uncultured bacterium. RNAcentral's name for it is "partial 16S ribosomal RNA". It matches the Rfam family "Bacterial small subunit ribosomal RNA", at positions 524 to 776 of the family's 1533-position model. The record is from RNAcentral.